GACAAACGCUGGCGGCGUGCCUAACACAUUCAAGUCGAACGGAGUUGUUUGAAUUAAUCCUUCGGGAAGCGUUUAAACAACUUAGUGGCGGACGGGUGAGUAACGCGUGAGCAACCUGCCUUACAGAGGGGGAUAACACAGGGAAACUUGUGCUAAUACCGCAUGACAUAUACGUACCGCAUGAUAUGUAUAUCAAAGGAGCAAUCCGCUGUAAGAUGGGCUCGCGUCCGAUUAGGUAGUUGGUGAGGUAACGGCUCACCAAGCCUACGAUCGGUAGCCGGACUGAGAGGUCGAACGGCCACAUUGGAACUGAGAAACGGUCCAGACUCCUACGGGAGGCAGCAGUGGGGAAUAUUGGGCAAUGGGCGAAAGCCUGACCCAGCAACGCCGCGUGAAGGAAGAAGGUCUUCGGAUUGUAAACUUCUUUAGUAGGGACGAAGAACGUGACGGUACCUACAGAAAAAGCAACGGCUAACUACGUG
Molecule: ribosomal RNA, 482 nt
Filed under: uncultured bacterium
Lineage: Bacteria
Description: bacterial SSU rRNA
Rfam family: Bacterial small subunit ribosomal RNA
Source: RNAcentral